Molecule: ribosomal RNA, 465 nt
Filed under: uncultured bacterium
Lineage: Bacteria
Description: partial 16S ribosomal RNA
Rfam family: Bacterial small subunit ribosomal RNA
Source: RNAcentral
GAUGAACGCUGGCGGCGUGCUUAACACAUGCAAGUCGAACGGAAAGGCUCCUGCUUGCAGGGGUACUCGAUUGGCGAACGGGUGAGUAACACGUGGGUGAUCUGCCCUUCACUUCGGGAUAAGCCUGGGAAACUGGGUCUAAUACCGGAUAGGACGAUGUUUUGGAUGCCAUUGUGGAAAGUUUUUCGGUUUGGGAUGAGCUCGCGGCCUAUCAGCUUGUUGGUGGGGUAAUGGCCUACCAAGGCGUCGACGGGUAGCCGGCCUGAGAGGGUGUACGGCCACAUUGGGACUGAGAUACGGCCCAGACUCCUACGGGAGGCAGCAGUGGGGAAUAUUGCACAAUGGGCGCAAGCCUGAUGCAGCGACGCCGCGUGGGGGAUGACGGCCUUCGGGUUGUAAACUCCUUUCGCUAGGGACGAAGCGCAAGUGACGGUACCUGGAGAAGAAGCACCGGCUAACUACGUG